AGCGAACGCUAGCGGCGAGCUUAACACAUGCAAGUCGAGCGGAGGGUUUCGGCCCUCAGCGGCGGACGGGUGAGUAACACGUAGGUUACGUGCCCUUUGGUGGGGAAUAACUUAGGGAAACCUGAGCUAAUACCGCAUAUGCCCUUCGGGCUGAUGUUUACAAGCUCGCGCUCUAGGAUGGGUCCGCGGCCCAUCAGCUAGUUGGUAGGGUAACGGCCUACCAAGGCAACGACGGGUAGCUGGUCUGAGAGGAUGAUCAGCCACACUGGAACUGAGACACGGUCCAGACUCCUACGGGAGGCAGCAGUGGGGAAUCUUGCGCAAUGGACGAAAGUCUGACGCAGCGACGCCGCGUGGGUGACGAAGGCCUUCGGGUUGUAAAGCCCUGUGGGGAGAGACGAACCGGCUCGUGGCUAAUAUCCACGGGUCUUGACGGUAUCUCCUUAGCAAGCAUCGGCUAACUCUGUG
RNAcentral lists this ribosomal RNA (468 nucleotides) under uncultured bacterium. RNAcentral describes it as "bacterial SSU rRNA". It matches the Rfam family "Bacterial small subunit ribosomal RNA", at positions 29 to 507 of the family's 1533-position model. The record is from RNAcentral.